GGCAACGAUCGGUAGCCGGACUGAGAGGUUGAACGGCCACAUUGGGACUGAGACACGGCCCAGACUCCUACGGGAGGCAGCAGUGGGGAAUAUUGCACAAUGGGGGAAACCCUGAUGCAGCGACGCCGCGUGGAGGAAGAAGGUCUUCGGAUUGUAAACUCCUGUUGUUGAGGAAGAUAAUGACGGUACUCAACAAGGAAGUGACGGCUAACUACGUGCCAGCAGCCGCGGUAAAACGUAGGUCACAAGCGUUGUCCGGAAUUACUGGGUGUAAAGGGAGCGCAGGCGGGAAGACAAAGUUGGAAGUGAAAUCCAUGGGCUCAACCCAUGAACUGCUUUCAAAACUGUUUUUCUUGAGUAGUGCGGAGGUAGGCGGAAUUCCCGGUGUAGCGGUGGAAUGCGUAGAUAUCGGGAGGAACACCAGUGGCGAAGGCGGCCUACUGGGCACCAACUGACGCUGAGGCUCG
This 467-nucleotide ribosomal RNA is filed under the name uncultured Bacillota bacterium. Its description in RNAcentral is "bacterial SSU rRNA". It matches the Rfam family "Bacterial small subunit ribosomal RNA", at positions 272 to 755 of the family's 1533-position model. Lineage: Bacteria; Bacillati; Bacillota. The record is from RNAcentral.